UAAAUAGUCGGGCCAGCUUCGGCUGGUCAUUGGCUUCUUAGAGGGACUAUCGGCUUCAAGCCGAUGGAAAUUUGAGGCAAUAACAGGUCUGUGAUGCCCUUAGAUGUUCUGGGCCGCACGCGCGCUACACUGACAGAGCCAACGAGUCUAUUCCUUGUCCGAAAGGCCUG
This 170-nucleotide ribosomal RNA is filed under the name Mattirolomyces sp. Its description in RNAcentral is "partial small subunit ribosomal RNA". It matches the Rfam family "Eukaryotic small subunit ribosomal RNA", at positions 1352 to 1544 of the family's 1831-position model. The record is from RNAcentral. Lineage: Eukaryota; Fungi; Ascomycota; Pezizomycetes; Pezizales; Pezizaceae.